Molecule: long non-coding RNA, 320 nt
Organism: Peromyscus eremicus (cactus mouse)
Lineage: Eukaryota; Metazoa; Chordata; Mammalia; Rodentia; Cricetidae
Exons: 3
Source: RefSeq, a predicted model, not a curated record
GCUGCUAAACGCUGGCAUUGCCAGACUGUCUUGCAUCCUCAUUCUAACAUGUGAGGGCAGUGGAUUGAGAAUGUGUCCCUGACAGAAUCCCGGCUCACCAGAGGCUUCCCGCAGAAGAUGUGGCCCAGAUUAAAGAUGGAUCUUCCCACCUCAAAAGAUCUGGAUUAAAGCAAGAACCGAAGUUUGAGGUAGACGAGCGGGCGAGCCGUUUGCCCGGGCGCAGAGCAUGAAGGCCGGGCGGGCGCGGGGAGCGGGCGCCCGCCGCCCGGCGCGGGGGUGAGCGAGAGAGAGAGCGGAGCGCGUGUGGCCGGCGCCGCUCG